This 500-nucleotide ribosomal RNA is filed under the name uncultured bacterium. RNAcentral's name for it is "partial 16S ribosomal RNA". It matches the Rfam family "Bacterial small subunit ribosomal RNA", at positions 30 to 523 of the family's 1533-position model. The record is from RNAcentral.
AUUGAGCGCUGGCGGCAGGCCUAACACAUGCAAGUCGAGCGGAUGAGUGGAGCUUGCUCCAUGAUUCAGCGGCGGACGGGUGAGUAAUGCCUAUGAAUCUGCCUGGUAGUGGGGGACAACGUUUCGAAAGGAACGCUAAUACCGCAUACGUCCUACGGGAGAAAGUGGGGGAUCUUCGGACCUCACGCUCUCAGAUGAGCCUAGGUCGGAUUAGCUAGUUGGUGAGGUAAAGGCUCACCAAGGCGACGAUCCGUAACUGGUCUGAGAGGAUGAUCAGUCACACUGGAACUGAGACGCGGUCCAGACUCCUACGGGAGGCAGCAGUGGGGAAUAUUGGACAAUGGGCGAAAGCCUGAUCCAGCCAUGCCGCGUGUGUGAAGAAGGUCUUCGGAUUGUAAAGCACUUUAAGUUGGGAGGAAGGGCAGUAAGUUAAUACCUUGCUGUUUUGACGUUACCAACAGAAUAAGCACCGGCUAACUUCGUGCCAGCCGCCGCCGUAA